GAUGAACGCUGGCGGCGUGCCUAAUACAUGCAAGUCGAGCGAACAGACGAGGAGCUUGCUCCUCUGACGUUAGCGGCGGACGGGUGAGUAACACGUGGAUAACCUACCUAUAAGACUGGGAUAACUUCGGGAAACCGGAGCUAAUACCGGAUAAUAUAUUGAACCGCAUGGUUCAAUAGUGAAAGACGGUUUUGCUGUCACUUCUAGCUGGAUCCGCGCCGCAUUAGCUAGUUGGUAAGGUAACGGCUUACCAAGGCAACGAUGCGUAGCCGACCUGAGAGGGUGAUCGGCCACACUAGAACGGAGACACGGUCCAUACUCCUACGGGAGGCAGCAGUAGGGAAUCGUCCGCAAUGGGCGAAAGCCUGACGGAGCAACGCCGCGUGAGUGAUGAAGGUCUUCGGAUCGUAAAACUCUGUUAUGAGUGAAAAACAAAUGUGUAAGUAACUAUGCACGUCUUGACGGUACCUAAUCAGAAAGCCACGGCUAACUACGUG
Molecule: ribosomal RNA, 497 nt
Filed under: uncultured bacterium
Lineage: Bacteria
Description: partial 16S ribosomal RNA
Rfam family: Bacterial small subunit ribosomal RNA
Source: RNAcentral